AAUGUCUUCACUUCAUUUAAUCAAAGAUAGCUACUUAUUCUAACACUGUGGUUUUCAAAUUCAUUCUUAUUUAACUCCCGAUGUCCAUCCCAUCUUCUGUUUUUUAAAUGAAGCCCCCUGUAUUACAGAGACAUAUGCUCUGGCUGGAGUGGGGUUGAAGAUCCAGAUCCGGGAGCCCCCUUAUCUAGUAUCCUCACCUUUCUGUUCUUGCAGUAGUUCCUGAAGGACUCUAUGGAAAACUUAAUGUCCAGCAAAACACACUGGUUUUGAAGAAAAGUAUCAAUGAUUCAACUAUCUGUUGGUGAGGGGAAUCUUACUUUCCUAUAGUUUAGAUAAACUCUUGUUCUUUUUUACUUAUUUAUUUAUUUGCAACUGGCUAGAGUCUAAAAAUAAGUUUGGAACCCCCUGGACAACAUGUUCUGCUGAUGUUAGAACUUAAGUUGGAUCCCAAUUUUUAUAUCUUGCUCUUCAAGGGCUGGUCAAAUUCUCCUGAGAUGUGUUCACCAGAAAGAGCCAACAGCUGAGUAGCUAAAACCUGACAUAUUGAAAACCAAAGGAAACUCAGAUUUUCAGCAGUCUCAGAAGGCUAAUCAACUUUCUCUGCAUGAAUGAACUUAAUCUUACAUUUGAAGCUUAUUCCAUUUUGGGAGACACAAUGGCUCCUAUCUACCUCACAUUUGCACCUGUAUGAUAGAUGGAACCUUGUUGCCAUGAAGUUUUUUCUCAAGGGACAGACACACACGGAGGGAAGAUGAUGUGAAGGCCACGUGAAGACGAAGACAGAGAUUGGAGUGAUGCAUCUGCAAGCCAGAGAGUGCCAGCAGCCACCAGAACCAGGAGACAGGCCUGGAAGGAACCAACGUUGGCAAUACCUCAGUUUUGGCACUCUAGCCUCCAGAACUGUGAGGUGAUAAAUUCCCGGAAUUAGGCCAUCCAGUUUCUGGUACUUUGUUAUGGCAGCCCUAGGAAAUGAAUACAUUCAAUGAAGGAGGCACUAUUAAUUGUUCCCAUUUUGCAGAUGAGGAAACUGAGGCACAGAGGAAUGAAGGGAUUUGCACAGCUGGUAAGUGAUUUAAACUCACACACUUUGGCUCCAGUAUCUGUGUUUUCACCCAUUAUACUAAAGUGCCUCUUGUCUCUUUUUUAGUUUACGACCUUUCCUUUCUUAGCUCUUUUCAGUCUUCUCACUGCCUUCGCACUGUA
This is a long non-coding RNA of Felis catus (domestic cat), 1203 nucleotides long. RefSeq lists it as uncharacterized. Lineage: Eukaryota; Metazoa; Chordata; Mammalia; Carnivora; Felidae. The transcript has 3 exons. The record is from RefSeq and is a predicted model, not a curated record.